GCACUGCCUUGGAGUACCAGCCACGCCUGCGCAUGGGACCAGGGGUCAGGACGUGACGCCAUAGCACGCGCUUGCGUACUGGACUGCGUGCUGAACUC
Ursus americanus (American black bear) is the source of this 98-nucleotide small nucleolar RNA. NCBI's taxonomy places the organism in Eukaryota, Metazoa, Chordata, Mammalia, Carnivora, Ursidae. The record is from Ensembl.